AUUUUACAUGGUGGCAACGACGCGAGGAGGAGAUUUUAUUGCGGCGAUUUCCAUCCAGGUAAGGUCAUCACCCCUCUCUUCCAACUCCAACGAGUCUGUCGACACUCAGCAAUAUGAAGCUACCGGACACGUCAUGGUCGACGGUGGACUGGAGCAUGCGGAGACUGGACGACUGCAUGCAGGGCCGCAUGCCUGAGGAAUUGCUCUUGCACAACCUUCACCAGGGCCAACAUCAGCGGCAGUGGCUGCAUCUUUUGGACCAACAACCUCACUAACAUCAAACACUACAACAAUGGAUUUAGCCAAGAUCUCUACGUUCGAUUGGCAUGAGCGGAUUUAGGUGAAUCGAUGUCUAGUGGCUAUAGCAACAAGAGGCAUGUAGCAGUGAUCAUAGUGGCACUGCUAUUAGCAAUGUUUCUCUUGGUUGCCAUUAUGAUUCUCCUUUGGAGAAGAAGGUAGACGAGAAACAACAAGAUGAGCGAAAAAUAAUGCUGACGAAGAAGAAGCAAUGGAAGAGGAAAACUUAGAAAUGCCUCUUUUUGAUUUGGGUAGGAUUGCUAAGGCCAACAGAGACUUUUGCUUCGACAACAAGCUCGGAGAGGGUGGAUUUGGUCAUGUUUAUAAGGAAAAGUUGGAGGAGGGUCAGGAAAUAGCUGUGAAGAGGUAUCAAAGAUGUUGACACAGGGCUCAGAUGAGUUCUAGACUAAGGUGAUGGUGAUCGCCAAACUGUAACAUCGGAACCUCGUUCACCUUCUCGGCUGUUGUGUUGAGGGGGAGAAAGAAUGUUGAUCUAUGAGUAUAUGCUCAAUGGAAGCUUGGACACAUUUUUAUUUGGUUAGUUAAAUCUCUUGUGAUUCAGAAGACUCCAGUUAAGUUGAUAUGCAAGAUGUUUGACUAUCCCUUGUCUCAUUAUCGAUCGUCCAAAAUAAGGACAUAUGCUGAUUGUUGGAUUGGAGAAUGUGAUACAAUAUUAUACUUGGCAUUGCUCAAGGUGUCUUUUAUCUUCACCAUGAUUCUUGAUACAGAAUCAUACAUAGGGAUUUAAAAACUAGCAACAUACUUCUUGAUAAGGAUAUUAAUCCGAAAAUAUUUGACUUUGGCAUGGAAAAAUUAUUUAGUGGAGAUGAAACAAUAAGAA
Long non-coding RNA from Zingiber officinale, 1138 nucleotides. RefSeq lists it as uncharacterized. The record is from RefSeq and is a predicted model, not a curated record. NCBI's taxonomy places the organism in Eukaryota, Viridiplantae, Streptophyta, Magnoliopsida, Zingiberales, Zingiberaceae. The transcript is spliced from 4 exons.